GACGAACGCUGGCGGCGUGCCUAACACAUGCAAGUCGAGCGCUGAAGGGUGGUUUUUGUAUCAACUGGACGGGCGGCGAACGGGUGAGUAACGCGUGGGGAAUCUGCCUUUGAGCGGGGGACAACAUUUGGAAAGGAAUGCUAAUACAGCAUAAAAACUUUAAACACAAGUUUCAAGUUUGAAAGAUGCAAUUGAAUCACUCAGAGAUGAUCCCGCGCUGUAUUAGCUAGAUGGUGAGGUAAAGGCCCACCAAGGAGAGGGUACAUAGCCGAGCUGGGAAGGUGGUCCACCCCAUUGGGAACGGGACACGGCCCAAACUUCUACGGGGGGCAGCCAGAGGGAAUCAUCGGCAAUGGACGGAAGGCUUGCCGAACAACGCCGCGUGAGUGAAGAAAGGUUUCGGAUCGUAAAACUCUGUUGGUAGGGGAGAACGGGGGGGAGGGUGGAAAGCUCAUCUAGUGACGGUAACUACCCAAAAAGGGACGGCUAACUACGUG
RNAcentral lists this ribosomal RNA (497 nucleotides) under uncultured bacterium. RNAcentral's name for it is "partial 16S ribosomal RNA". It matches the Rfam family "Bacterial small subunit ribosomal RNA", at positions 28 to 507 of the family's 1533-position model. The record is from RNAcentral.